GACGAACGCUGGCGGCGUGCUUAACACAUGCAAGUCGAACGGAAAGGCCCUGCUUUUGUGGGGUGCUCGAGUGGCGAACGGGUGAGUAACACGUGAGUAACCUGCCCUUGACUUUGGGAUAACUUCAGGAAACUGGGGCUAAUACCGGAUAGGAGCUCCUGCUGCAUGGUGGGGGUUGGAAAGUUUCGGCGGUUGGGGAUGGACUCGCGGCUUAUCAGCUUGUUGGUGGGGUAGUGGCUUACCAAGGCUUUGACGGGUAGCCGGCCUGAGAGGGUGACCGGCCACAUUGGGACUGAGAUACGGCCCAUACUCCUACGGGAGGCAACAGUGGGGAAUAUUGCACACUGGGCGGAAGCCUGAUGCAGCAACGCCGCGUGCGGGAUGACGGCCUUCGGGUUGUAAGCCGCUUUCGCCUGUGACGAAGCGUGAGUGACGGUAAUGGGUAAAGAAGCACGGGCUAACUACGUG
Molecule: ribosomal RNA, 468 nt
Filed under: uncultured bacterium
Lineage: Bacteria
Description: partial 16S ribosomal RNA
Rfam family: Bacterial small subunit ribosomal RNA
Source: RNAcentral